GACGAACGCUGGCGGCGUGCUUAACACAUGCAAGUCGAACGGAAAGGCCCUGCUUUUGUGGGGUGCUCGAGUGGCGAACGGGUGAGUAACACGUGAGUAACCUGCCCUUGACUUUGGGAUAACUUCAGGAAACUGGGGCUAAUACCGGAUAGGAGCUCCUGCUGCAUGGUGGGGGUUGGAAAGUUUCGGCGGUUGGGGAUGGACUCGCGGCUUAUCAGCUUGUUGGUGGGGUAGUGGCUUACCAAGGCUUUGACGGGUAGCCGGCCUGAGAGGGUGACCGGCCACAUUGGGACUGAGAUACGGCCCAGACUCCUACGGGAGGCAGCAGUGGGGAAUAUUGCACAAUGGGCGGAAGCCUGAUGCAGCAACGCCGCGUGCGGGAUGACGGCCUUCGGGUUGGAAACCGCUUUCGCCUGUGACGAAGCGUGAGUGACGGUAAUGGGGAAAGAAGCACCGGCUAACUACGU
This 467-nucleotide ribosomal RNA is filed under the name uncultured bacterium. Its description in RNAcentral is "partial 16S ribosomal RNA". It matches the Rfam family "Bacterial small subunit ribosomal RNA", at positions 28 to 506 of the family's 1533-position model. The record is from RNAcentral.